This is a long non-coding RNA of Clupea harengus (Atlantic herring), 2574 nucleotides long. The record is from Ensembl. NCBI's taxonomy places the organism in Eukaryota, Metazoa, Chordata, Actinopteri, Clupeiformes, Clupeidae.
UAGCAUCUAGCAUCUAGGGUUAGCAUCUAGCAUCUAGGGUUAGCAUCUAGCAUCUAGGGUUAGCUUCUAGCAUCUAGUGUUAGCAUCUAGCAUCUAGGGUUAGCAUCUAGCAUCUAGGGUUAGCAUCUAGCAUCUAGGGUUAGCAUCUAGCAUCUAGGGUUAGCAUCUACAUCUAGUGUUAGCAUCUAGCAUCUAGGGUUAGCAUCUACAUCUAGCAUCUAGGGUUAGCAUCCAUCUCAUCACCCAGAUACCCAGUACACCAACUACAACUGAUCCAGAUUAGAGCCGAAUAGAACUGAUCCAGAUUAUGGUUUGAUAGAACUGAUCCAGAUUGGAGUCACAUGGAAUAGGUCUGAGUUUACACACACACACACACACACAGACACACACUCCCUCUGCUCCCUCUGUCAGAAACGUGUGUGCUUUUAACAGCCAAUCAGAAACGUGUGUGCUUUUAACAGCCAAUCAGAAACGUGUGUGCUUUUAACUGUCUGUGCUCAGCCUUGACAUGAACACAUGAACAAAGAAGCGGUCACGUGUGUGUGUGUGUGUGUGUGUGUGUGUGUGUGUGUGUUUGUGUGACGAAGAACAACGUUUGGAGUGUUUUCUGUGAGCGACGUGUAAACCACGUGUCGUUACAGCGCACGGCCGUCUGGACCAGCACCUGUGGAGAGAUUCGGUUCUCCUUCUGAAAUCUGUUCAGAAAAAGAAAAUGUAUUAUUGUAUCAUUUUAUCAUUUUUAAUCCAGCAGUGUUAAAUAUGAUUUCUUAUGGUUGUUUGAUUUCCUGUCCAUGCAAGUAAAAUGUGUGUAUUGUGGGCACUGGUAGGUGGGCGAGGAACAGGCCCAUCCCAGCCCGUUCUUGUGUUGUGUGUCUCUCUACCAGAUAGCAGUAUUACUGAAGCCAACUUAACUGACAUUACACACUUGUUUUAGAAGGAACAGUUAAGCUUGUUUUAUAUAUAUGUGUAUGUAAACAUAUUUAUGUGUCUUAUUUUUAUAUUUCCUCAUAGUUAUUUAUUCUACUCCUAGUUUACAGUGUUGUUGCCGUUUUGUAUUACUUCAGUCACUGUGUUAAGAGAGCCGCCGCGGUGGUCCGGCCGGACGGAGUGGUUCUGGAUUGGUUGGAACAGUCCCACACUCCCGACACAGGAUGACGGGGCUGUUCCACCGAGCAGGGUUACUCCAUUACCCACAUACCUGCGCUCAGCAAAACCAGAAACACAGCGCCACGUAUGCUAGGCUACAGAAACAGCGCCUCUCAUGCUAGGCUAGGCUAGAGAAACAGCGCCUCGUAUGCUAGGCUACAGAAACAGCACCUUGUGUGCUAGGCUAGGCUAGAGAAACAGCACCUUGUGUGCUAGGCUAGGCUAGGCUGGAGAAGCAGCACCUUGUGUGCUAGGCUAGAGAAGCAGCACCUUGUAUGCUAGGCUACAGAAACAGCGCCUCGUAUGCUAGGCUAGGCUAGGCUGGAGAAGCAGCACCUUGGAUGUUAGGCUAGGCUAGGCUAGGCUUGUUUAGGUGUUAGCUGGCGCAGAUAUCUGGCUAACUCAUGCGUCAGGCUAGGCUGGAUGUGGGGAGUGUUUCUAGGUGUUAGCCGGCGCAGAUAACUCUGCUCUAGUGCGCAAGCGGGCGAGGAGACAGAUAGACACAUGACUCCGCCCCCUCACAAAGCUGCAGCAGCAGACUGGCCCAGAUCCAGCGGAACCAGAAUGGUUGGGGUUCCUGCUGAGGUCCAGAUCCAGCAGAACCAGAUCGGUUGGGGUUCCUGCUGAGGCCCCGGGUGUGACCCCCCCCCCCCCACACGCUUAACGCAGCGGCGUCCCGUCUGCCUACGUGUUCCUCAAACUCACCCGUCAUAAUGCAUGCAUAGCUCACCUACCCCCCUUGUGAAGCAUUAUAACACAUUAUCACCCAUGUGCAUGAGAAAAGGACCCUACAUGUUUAUUGAGCACUGUGUUUGACAUAGGAAAGUUACUGUGUGGAACCAAGUGGAACCAAGCCAGUUUGCCUGGGGCGCUGAGGAGGAGGAGGAGGAGGAGGAGGAGGAGGACCGCGUCAGUGUUCAUCAUGUCUGCACACGUAGAGUUCAUGCUGUCUUAGUGUUGAGGAUUGCAGGGAUGGAUUUGACUCUUAGUGUAAAGAUUUGACUCUUAGUGUGAAGAUAUGACUGUCAGUGUUGAGGAUUGCAGGGAUGGAUUUGGCUCUAGUGUGAAUAUAUGACUCUUAGUGUAAAGAUAUGACUCUUAGUGUGAAGAUAUGAAUGUCAGUGUUGGGGAUUGCAGGUAUGGAUUUGUCUAAGGUCUAGUGUGAAGGUAUGAUUGUUGUUGCGCUUGUGUGGAACUUGUCUGGAGUUCUCGUGGUUCCCUGUGUCAAGAUCUUGUCCUCCACACACACGUCUCAUUUUCUGUGCCAAAGUAAUAUUUGUGUGUGUGUGUGUGUUUGUCCGAUGCUUCAAAUUGGUUUUAGAUAAAAAAAAAAAAAACCUGUUCAAAUGCAUUGCCAUUCUCAGUUGUUUUGUUAGUUUUUUUUUUUAAAUCCCCAUGGAAACCGAAAUUAAAGGAGAAUGAUGCACA